Non-coding RNA from Cajanus cajan (pigeon pea), 950 nucleotides. The record is from RefSeq and is a predicted model, not a curated record. Lineage: Eukaryota; Viridiplantae; Streptophyta; Magnoliopsida; Fabales; Fabaceae.
GGUAGUAAUAUUAAUGAUGAAUAGGGAAGUAAGGUUGUUAAUGUAAUGAAGGGAAAGGGAAGGGUGAAUCUGAAUCUGAUCCAACAUUAUCAUUCAGAGAAGAGAUUUGAAAAUCGCAUCGCAUCGCACAGAGAUGAAUUCAAUUUCAAUAAGCAGAUCAUCCCUGUGUAUCCUGCUCGCUUUCUCUUUGCACUUCAUUCUUGGUUUUUCUGACGACUCACCAGCUUCUAAAGAUGCUACAAAGGACAAACCCCAUGUAGGUGGCACAAGCACCAGUACUUUGAUUGUCAUUGUGUUAAUUGCGGUUGUGCUCUUUUCUUUGUUCUCCUUUGUACUUUUUAAGCUGUGGCGAAAGAAGAAAAGGGAAGAGCAAUAUGCUCGUCUUUUGAAAUUGUUUGAAGAGGAUGAUGAGUUAGAGCUUGAGCUUGGCCUAAGGGACUGACCUUUGCCAUUCAACAUCUUCCAGGCUUAUGCAAGUUUAUUUAUUUUGAAAUGGUUUAUGCUAACAAGUGCAAGGACGCUUGUUAAAAAAAUAGAAAAUAUAUGUUGAUGAAAUUCACAACAAUUAAUACAAUAAAGUACUUUCAAUUUUAGAUAUUUAACAAGUGUCCUUGUAGCACCGUUAGCAUUUGCCUUCCAAAAUUUUUUCUUCUUGCCCAAGACGGAUAUGACGUUGGACUUCUUGUGAUGGAGUCAGGACUUUUUUGGAGAAGACUCGUAAUUGAUUGUUUGUAAUGCUAUUCAAUGAUUUUACUUUUCAAAGAUAUUCAUUUAUCUACAAAGUAAGUAGACGUAGAGAAGGCUAAAUUUGCACAAAGUGAUUGGACGGGUGUUAUCAAGAAUACGAUACACCUGAAUUUGUUGAUAUGUAUGAUAUUGUAGUUUUGAGAUUUGACAUGUUAUAGGUAAUAUAUGGUGUUCAUGAAUGAAUGACUUAUAUUUUGAGGACA